Long non-coding RNA from Ailuropoda melanoleuca (giant panda), 4749 nucleotides. RefSeq lists it as uncharacterized. The record is from RefSeq and is a predicted model, not a curated record. The transcript is spliced from 3 exons. NCBI's taxonomy places the organism in Eukaryota, Metazoa, Chordata, Mammalia, Carnivora, Ursidae.
GAAGGCAGAUGCUUAAGUGACUGACUGAACCACCCAGGUGCCCCCAAAAUAUUAAAAAUCUUCAGGAAAACAAAUGAUAGAAAUGUGGAUGGGCCCUGGAAUUUGAUACACAAAACAUGUAUUAUUGAGUGUCCCACUUUGUGCCCAACACUGUGCUGGGUCCUGAGGAGAGUGUGAAAAAUAGAGAAGACAAGGCAAGGCAUCUGCUUUCUGGAAGUUAAGUUACAGGCAGGAAGACAAAACACCCGCGUGAAAUAGUUAACAAUAGGAGGUAGAUUGAGAUGAAGUGAAUGGUGCACAUUCAGGGAAUCCUGAGGAAUCGCGGGGACUCGUUUGAGGCCUUGCGUACCAGACAGGGACCUGAGAACUGAUUUUUAGGCCUUUGGGGAGCCACAGGUGUGCCAACCUCUGCCAUUGUGGGCCAGUCAUUCCUUCCUAAGACUCACGGUCCUUUUACCUCCUGCUUAAGGUCGUCUUAGAACUUUGAGUCAGCUGUAAAUCCCUGCUCUAAGGGAAGGAACAGCCUUUGACCUCUGCCGAGGGAGGGGGAACACCGCCACCCAGCCCAGCUUCUCCUUGGGUGGCCUGCAGGUGGGCAAAGCAAUAAUGAUGUGCAUCUUGGAGCCUCCCAGAGGGCCUUCCUGCCUCCCAGGUGGACCGCUCACUAAUGGCCCAGCAGGGGAUGCUAACAGCAUCAUCUUCUCUGGUCCCUGGCCUUACCCAGCAGUCCUCACUAUUAUCUAAGAGUCCAUGUAAGCCAGCCAGGCCCCCGCCCCCAUCUUUGACCCUGGGCCAGAGCAAUUCCGGCCCCUCAGUGACUCUAGUGGGAUGGUUGCUGCCUAGUUCCUUCUAAACUGUUGAGCUCUUCUAAGUAAGCCCAGGGGAACCAUAUUAGAAUCUAGAGACAUCUGUUCUGAAACCAUGGGGAGGGACGCCUGGGUGGCGAGGCAGUUAAGUGUCUGCCUUCGGCUCAGGUCAUGAUCUCAGGGUCCUGGGAUCAAGCCUGCCUCGGACUCCCUGCUCAGCAGAAAGCCUGCUUCUUCCUCUCCCUCUGCUGCUCCCCUGCUCAUUCUCUCUCUCUCUCUCUCUCUCUGUCAAAUAAAUAAAAUCUUGAAAGUAAAAUAAAACCAUGGGGAAGGACUGGGGAGUACAUCAUUCCUGCCUUCAUUAAUCUAAGGUCUGAAUGGCACAGAAACAAACUAGUAUAAUUCUUGCCAGCUGUGUGCUGCAGGCUGUGCGUGUCCCCUUGAUGCCUGGUCUGUGGAGCAGACCUCACUGCACCCCACGUUCCUGGGUCACUGAGUUCCUCAUUUUCUAUUACCCCAAGUGACCAAGUUCAGGUGGACACAAUACCAGUGCUCUGAAGCACAAAACAGGAUAGCUUUGAUGAACAAGAAUUUCACGAAACUCCCUGUUCUCCAGUUUCCUCUGUUUUCAGCCGGGUGUGGGGGGAAGCAGGGUUUGACUCAGAAUGAGGGGAAGUGGGUUUGCCUGACUGUUGGCCAAACCUGCUGGAAACUUGCAUCUGCCUGAACCUGCUGGGAAGGGCAGUGGGUCCUGGGAGGUGUUUGGGAUGUAGGUUCCCAGCCUGGGGUCAUGUGACUGGCCUUACUCAAGCAGAGCAUUUAUCGGGCACCUACCAUGUACUAGGCAUUGGGAAUACAAAUAUGCCUUAGACCAGGCUCCUCUUUAGAAGAGCUAAUGGUCCCUAGGGGAAGAAAGGCAUGAAAACAGAGUUUUAGUAGCAUUGUACCCUGAAGUUGUGUGCACAGAUGCUGUGGAAGAGAACGGCCUGUGGGUGCAGGGUAGCCUCUCUGGAGCAGGGACCUCUAAGCUGAGCUUGCUAGGUGAAGAAGGUGUAAAAGGAAUUCUAGCCUCAAAACAGCCAUCUGAGGUAUGGACUGCUUUAUUAAGGGGUUCAGAGAAGUUGACUAACUUGUCCAAGAUCACACAACUCGUAAGUGGUAGAGCCAGGAUCUGAACCCUGAACACUGAAGACUCGGUGCUCACAAGCCUCGUGAAGAACUUGAUUUCUUUUCAAAGGUGAGAGAGUACCAGAGCAAGGUAAUCGGCGGGCAAGCAGCACAGUGAAAGCUACCGGAAUCCUACCUGGAUGGAGAUAGAUCCUAGCUUUCGGUCUCUGGAGAGUUUCCACUCUAACCCAUACCUUCAGCCAAAAUGGAAGUCAAGAUGGAGACACGGAAUGGGAUUAUUAAUGACAACUAGGACAACUCCAAAUAAGGGGAAAGGGAGCGUCUCCACCUCCCCUUCUCCAUUAAAUCAAACAUCAGGCACCAAUGGAGGGUCGACUCUGCUGUGUGCCCAGCCCUUAGCAGUAAGAUAGACUUGAGUCUGAAGCCUGGAGCAAGUUCCUUAACUUCUCUAAGCCUGUAUUCUCCUCUGUCUGGGGAUAAUAGAACCAACCUUUAAGGGGAAUAACAUGAUUAAUGCAUGUGGAGUGCUUAAUAGUGGGCAUAUGGCAAUUGGUAAAUAAAUAAGAGCCAUUAUCAUGAGUAUUUAAAAUGCAUAGUUAAAAGCUAAACCUAUUUUUGUAGAGAAGUGGCAAGGUUUUAAAAAGGAGGCAGAGCUCACUGUGGCUGAGGUGGUCAGGAAAUCAGUGGGUCUGGAGCUGGAAGAACUGGGGACAGGGAUUGCUGGAAUCUGAAGGUAGGGAUUGCUGGAAUCUGAAGGUGGGGCCUGCCUCAUCCUCACCUUCAACCCGGGGAAUAUGUCUGCCAUAUUAUCUGUUCCCAAAGAGUCCAAGAUGCCUUCAUUGUAAUUCUUUAUGAUCUUCAGAGCAGGAUCUUCGUUCUUGUAAGAGGAGUUGAAGCAGAUCAAGCAGAUUAUGUUGGUCACCGCCAGGAAGAGAGGCAAGGACAAAUCUAUGGACUGUCCAUUCUGGGUGGCCAGGAAAUCACACAAUAAACUGUUUUCCUGACAAACUGGGAGGAGAGAGGGGGCAAGACAGCGGGGAGUUAAGCAGCACCCUCCCUCCUUCCCAGUUCCAUCUUAGCCAGGGACAUAGAGCAGAUGGCCACUAGAUGGCAGCAGCAGCCAAGAAAGCACCAGAUUGAGCCUUCCAUUGUCCCUUUCCAGCCCCUUCUCCCUCCAGCAGCCCCAGGGGCUGGCCAGCACUCACUGAUCUUCUCUAGCCUCUGGUCGCCAUCCUUGAACAGGGCAAAGGUGGCCAGUACCAGCUUCCUAUGCAGCUGCCAGUUGGCACCAUGGUCUGCGAAGGCGAUGCCCUUUUGGUUGUCAGACAGGAUGUCCAGAGUCACCUUUGGAGAGCAGGAAAGGCUGUAAGAAUCAGACAUCAAUGACCCACCCUUGCCCUGGGCCUCCUGUACCCUUCCUGAGGGAGAAGGCAGGUACCUACCAUGCUGACACCCAUGUGGGACACCCUUGCUCUACUCUGCCAUGACCGUUAGGCCUUGGUAGGGCAGGGCCCGAGACCCCCCUACUCCCAAUUCCAUCAGAGAGACAGACUAAGGAGAAAAAAGGGACCCCAGAUGAGAAUGCAGGGGUUCUGGGGUUCAGUUCAAUAACAGGAUGACCUCUGGGCCUCUCUUACCAGUUUCUGACCAGGGGAAGGCAGCCGCGGAUGGGAUAAGCUCUCUGAAUGGUGCCUGUCCUGGGGGCAGGAGCAGGUGGGCUUGGAGGGACAGGACUGCCCAGAUGUCUGCCUUUCCCUGGGCCCUCUGGGGGGUGCUGCAGGUGUAGCAGCUGCUCCUCUUUCUGCCCUUCCAUUGCAAGGCUGCGUGCCCACCAUAAGGCCCCACCUGGAAAAUGCAAUCUGGACUUGGCCAAGCCACCUCUUCCCAGAGCGACUUCAAGGCAUCAGACUUCAAAGCCUCCCCUCUUACAUCCUGUGGGCUGCAAGCUCCAUCUGACUAGCCUCCUCCUUCCUCUUUGCUCAGGAGGUUUGAGAGUGAGGCCGUUGGCCAGCAGACCUAGCUGACUUGUCCAAGGAAAAAUGAAUCAACCUUGGCCUGAUCAGAGGUAAGUGACUGGGGGGGUCCUGCCUGGGGUGUUCAAGGGGGUACUCAGUAGCAAGAUGCUGGGAUGGGGCAUUGGCAGUAUUCCCAGACGUCUAGCUUCUCUCCUCCCCCAGGAGCUUUACAGAAGGCUUGGCAGGAUAGAUCACCAGCAUCCUUGAGAUGCCACCAUGUGUCAGCCUUCCUGUGAGCCCGAGCAGCCGGGGACAGCUCCAGAGAAACAGCAAUCCCCGCCCUCCAAAAGCCAGGGUACUUCGCUCUCACACCUUCCCAUAGAAGACAGUCAUUUUAGUCCCAUUUGCCGUAUGACGAGUAGCACUCCUAAAGGCUAUUUAUGGAGCACUUACAGCGGCUGGGCCAUGGGCUAAGGGUUUUGCGUAGAGUACCUCAGUUAAUUAGGGAAGCAAGACUCAGAGAGCACAUCAUCCAGUUCCAGGCGAGAUGACAGCCCAGAAAAUGAAAUCUUCCUUUGAUUCUUCCUGCCUAGUUUAGAGGCUGGGUGGGGUCCGAGGGGUCAAAUCCCCACCCACGGUCCUGUUAGUCUGUUUUAGGAAGAAUUACAGGAGCUAGAAGGGUCAUUCCAGGCAUGGUCUUGGCUGACAAACUGCAACCCCCCCGCCCCGAGCUGGUGAGAAAGGAGAGAUAGUGGGUGCUGCUUACCACUUGGGGCCGCCCAGAGAAUUCCUUGCCCUUCUUGACAAGCACCUCCUUGGCCAGCUGGUGGUGGCCGACCAUCACUGUAGUCUUGGUACCC